Molecule: ribosomal RNA, 420 nt
Filed under: uncultured eukaryote
Lineage: Eukaryota
Description: bacterial SSU rRNA
Rfam family: Eukaryotic small subunit ribosomal RNA
Source: RNAcentral
CAAUAGCGUAUAUUAAAGUUGUUGCAGUUAAAAAGCUCGUAGUUGGAUUUCUGGUAGGAGCGACCGGUCCGCCCUGUUAAGGGUGUGUACUAGCGUUGUCUCUGGCCAUCCUUGGGGGAACUGCGCGGGGAGACUUGCGUUAGGGAACCCAUCGUUUACUGUGAAAAAAUUAGAGUGUUUAAAGCAGGCUUAUGCCGUUGAAUACAUUAGCAUGGAAUAAUAAGAUAGGACCGCGUGGUCGUCUUGUUGGUUUGCACCGCGAGGUAAUGAUUAAUAGGUACAGUUGGGGGUAUUCGUAUUUAAUUGUCAGAGGUGAAAUUCUUGGAUUUAUGAAAGACGAACUUCUGCGAAAGCAUUUACCAAGGAUGUUUUCAUUAAUCAAGAACGAAAGUUAGGGGAUCGAAGACGAUUAGAUACCAU